This 435-nucleotide ribosomal RNA is filed under the name Pasteurella multocida subsp. multocida. RNAcentral describes it as "bacterial SSU rRNA". It matches the Rfam family "Bacterial small subunit ribosomal RNA", at positions 526 to 962 of the family's 1533-position model. Lineage: Bacteria; Pseudomonadati; Pseudomonadota; Gammaproteobacteria; Pasteurellales; Pasteurellaceae. The record is from RNAcentral.
CGGAGGGUGCGAGCGUUAAUCGGAAUAACUGGGCGUAAAGGGCACGCAGGCGGACUUUUAAGUGAGAUGUGAAAUCCCCGAGCUUAACUUGGGAACUGCAUUUCAGACUGGGAGUCUAGAGUACUUUAGGGAGGGGUAGAAUUCCACGUGUAGCGGUGAAAUGCGUAGAGAUGUGGAGGAAUACCGAAGGCGAAGGCAGCCCCUUGGGAAUGUACUGACGCUCAUGUGCGAAAGCGUGGGGAGCAAACAGGAUUAGAUACCCUGGUAGUCCACGCUGUAAACGCUGUCGAUUUGGGGAUUGGGCUAUAUGCCUGGUGCCCGAAGCUAACGUGAUAAAUCGACCGCCUGGGGAGUACGGCCGCAAGGUUAAAACUCAAAUGAAUUGACGGGGGCCCGCACAAGCGGUGGAGCAUGUGGUUUAAUUCGAUGCAACGC